UGGCAUAAUGGUCACACCUGUUCCCAUCCCGAACACAGAAGUUAAGCAUUUUUGCGCCGAUGAUAGUUGGGUUUAUACCCCGCAAAAGUAGGUCGUUGCCA
RNAcentral lists this ribosomal RNA (101 nucleotides) under Tenericutes bacterium ADurb.BinA124. The record is from RNAcentral. Lineage: Bacteria; Bacillati; Mycoplasmatota.